UCACGCGGGAAUCUUACCGGGUCCGGACACACUGAAAGAUUGACAGAUAUAUACCCCGUGAUUUUAUCGCGGGGUUGAAAAAUGCUAGUUCUUUCAUGAUUAUGUGAUAGGUGGUGCAUGGCCGUUCUUAGUUCGUGGAGUGAUCUGUCUGCUUAAUUGCGUAUCAAUAAUAGAGACCUAGUAUACGCGUAGACUCAUGCGGUAGUGACCCCCCUUCACAGGGCGCGUGUCGCACGUAUGUUAUACGCACAGGUCUCCGAUAGCAACGAACGUGACCGUACUCUAUUGUUGCAGCGACAAUACCUUUCAACGGGUAUUACCGCUGCUUAACAAGAUUCGUCUUGCAUUAAACUAUAGAGACCGCUGUUUCUUCUUUAAACCAGAGGAAGGAUACGGCAAUAACAGGCUGUGAUGCCACGGUUUUUGGAAUUGAUGGAAGGAGGAUAUCCGAUGCUCCUGAAGAAGCAUCUUGCCUAAGGAUGCCUGGAGGUCCGCGUUCUUGUGGUGCCCAUUCGUCCAUUCCUUCAAGUUUCCACUUGCGUAUCCAAACUUGAUUCUUCUGCAGGUUCAACUACGGAUGCCUUGAGAUCCGCGUUCUUGUGGUGCCAUUACUCCAAUUCUUUCAGUUUUGCUACCCGUUUGUUCGUAUUUUCC
RNAcentral lists this ribosomal RNA (654 nucleotides) under Ammonia sp. genotype T6. RNAcentral describes it as "bacterial SSU rRNA". The stretch from base 1 to 439 matches the Rfam family "Eukaryotic small subunit ribosomal RNA", at positions 1201 to 1497 of the family's 1831-position model. The record is from RNAcentral. Lineage: Eukaryota; Foraminifera; Rotaliida; Rotaliidae.